This 895-nucleotide ribosomal RNA is filed under the name Diaporthe ambigua. RNAcentral's name for it is "LSU rRNA". It matches the Rfam family "Eukaryotic large subunit ribosomal RNA", at positions 37 to 964 of the family's 3401-position model. Lineage: Eukaryota; Fungi; Ascomycota; Sordariomycetes; Diaporthales; Diaporthaceae. The record is from RNAcentral.
UACAUAUCAAUAAGCGGAGGAAAAGAAACCAACAGGGAUUGCCCUAGUAACGGCGAGUGAAGCGGCAACAGCUCAAAUUUGAAAUCUGGCCUCGGCCCGAGUUGUAAUUUGCAGAGGAUGUUUCUGGCGCGGUGCCUUCCGAGUUCCCUGGAACGGGACGCCAAAGAGGGUGAGAGCCCCGUAUGGUUGGACACCAAGCCUGUGUGAAACUCCUUCGACGAGUCGAGUAGUUUGGGAAUGCUGCUCUAAAUGGGAGGUAAAUCUCUUCUAAAGCUAAAUACCGGCCAGAGACCGAUAGCGCACAAGUAGAGUGAUCGAAAGAUGAAAAGCACCUUGAAAAGGGGGUUAAAUAGUACGUGAAAUUGUUGAAAGGGAAGCACUUAUGACCAGACUUGGGCCGGGCGGCUCAUCAGGGGUUCUCCCCUGUGCACUCCGCCCGGCACAGGCCAGCAUCGGUUUUCGCGGGGGGAUAAGACCGUCAGGAACGUAGCACCCUCCGGGGUGUGUUAUAGCCUGGCGGACGAUACCCUCGCGGGGACCGAGGUUCGCGCUCCGCAAGGAUGCUGGCGUAAUGGUCAUCAGUGACCCGUCUUGAAACACGGACCAAGGAGUCGUCCAUUAGAGCGAGCGUUUGGGUGUAAAACCCGCACGCGUAAUGAAAGUGAACGCAGGUGAGAGCUUCGGCGCAUCAUCGACCGAUCCUGAUGUUCUCGGAAGGAUUUGAGUAAGAGUUUUAACGGACGGACCCGAAAGACAGUGAACUAUGCUUGUAUAGGGUGAAGCCAGAGGAAACUCUGGUGGAGGCUCGCAGCGGUUCUGACGUGCAAAUCGAUCGUCAAAUAUGAGCAUGGGGGCGAAAGACUAAUCGAACUGUCUAGUAGCUGGUUACCGCCGA